CCCUAUGGGGUGCAGCAGGCGCGAAACCUCCUCAAUGCACAAACGUGCGAAGGGGUUACCUCGAGUGCUACCUGAAGAAGGUGGCUUUUCCUUGGUCUAAAAAGCCUUGGGAAUAAGAGGGGGGCAAGACUGGUGUCAGCCGCCGCGGUAACACCAGCCCCUCGAGUGGUGGGGAUGAUUAUUUGGUCUAAAGCGUCCGUAGCCGGCCGAGUAAGUUUCCCGUUAAAUCCAAUGUCUCAAGCGUUGGACUGCGGGAAAUACUGCUCGGCUAGAGAGUGGGAGAGGCCAACGGUAUUCUGGGGGUAGGGGCGAAAUCCUUUGAUCCCCGGAGGACCACCAGUGGCGAAGGCUGUUGGCUAGAACACGUCUGACGGUCAGGGACGAAAGCUGGGGUAGCGAACCGGAUUAGAUACCCGGGUAGUCCCAGCCGUAAACGAUGCAUGCUAGGUGUUAGGUUGGCCACGUGCCACCCUAGUGCCGCAGGGAAGCCAUUAAGCAUGCCACCUGGGGAGUACGGCCGCAAGGCUGAAACUUAAAGGAAUUGGCGGGGGAGCACCACCAGGCGUGAAGCCUGCGGUUUAAUUGGAGUCAACGCCGGGAACCUUACCGGGAGCGACAGCAGAGUGAAGACCAGGUUGAAGACCUUGUCAGACAGCUGAGAGGAGUGCAUGGCCA
This 675-nucleotide ribosomal RNA is filed under the name uncultured marine group III euryarchaeote. RNAcentral's name for it is "bacterial SSU rRNA". It matches the Rfam family "Archaeal small subunit ribosomal RNA", at positions 321 to 1000 of the family's 1478-position model. The record is from RNAcentral. Lineage: Archaea; Methanobacteriati; Thermoplasmatota; Thermoplasmata; Candidatus Thermoprofundales.